GUGAACCCAAAAGACUCGCAAACGGUUUUCUCCCGGUAAAAGAGGUCAUGUGGCUCCGCCGCGGAAACCCCAGAAUCUGAAUCUAGAGGUUUCCCCACAUAGAGCUGUAUCUGCAGUCAGAUUGAUGAGAAUUGAGUUUGGUAGAGCGUUUGCUGAUCUUUUGAACGAGAAAGGGAAAGGCUCCGGAAGCAAUGAGAUGAGUUACGUCGAAAGAACAAUCAGGUUUCGAACUCGAGAUUUGGAUGACCGGGAUCUUAGACUGGUUAGUGUCACCAUUCCCAUCUUUACUGAGUAGAAACCUUGAAGAAGACAGAAGACAACUACACUCAGAGACGACUUAGGGAUUUGGAAAUCAAGUUCUUCAGUCUCUUGAUUCUUGUUUGAGUUCAAUGUGUUCUUCCAGCA
Molecule: long non-coding RNA, 405 nt
Organism: Eutrema salsugineum
Lineage: Eukaryota; Viridiplantae; Streptophyta; Magnoliopsida; Brassicales; Brassicaceae
Exons: 3
Source: RefSeq, a predicted model, not a curated record